RNAcentral lists this unclassified non-coding RNA (298 nucleotides) under Hevea brasiliensis (rubber tree). The record is from RNAcentral. Lineage: Eukaryota; Viridiplantae; Streptophyta; Magnoliopsida; Malpighiales; Euphorbiaceae.
UUUUUUUUUUUUUUUUAUAACAUCUUACAUUACAAUAACAUGAAUAAAAGUAAAAGUAGCAUGUACUUCUAUGUAUAAAUUCUAAUUUUACCAUUAAUUUGUAUUUACUUAUCGAAAAAUGAACUUGAUAUGAGAAUCUUGAAAAGGAGACAUCUAUAUUAUAUUUUCAAAGUGAACCAGACAUGUCCUAAAAGGUAAUAGUAGAUAUUGUACGGGAGUGUGACAUAGGAGCACUUCUGAUGUAGAACAAGAAGGAACCAAAAACAAAUCCUUAGGAAAGAGAACUAAUUCUCAAUAA